Molecule: long non-coding RNA, 1072 nt
Organism: Nicotiana attenuata
Lineage: Eukaryota; Viridiplantae; Streptophyta; Magnoliopsida; Solanales; Solanaceae
Exons: 3
Source: RefSeq, a predicted model, not a curated record
CUUACACUACCAUUUGAGAAAGAAUUCUCUUCCUCUCUCUAGAAUUGGGGCUUCGCUUCCGGUCCCCUUGGUGGCACUGAUGAAGAAAGUACCUGCUGGUUGUAGUCUUUGGGAUGUUGGAUGGACACCCUGUACCUGCAAUGGGGCUUUUAGCCUCCAAUAUUUUUUGUGCGGUGCUUCUAGCAGCCACAGGAAGUGAAGAGGCCGUGUAACUUUGGGCCGCCACGAAGUUGGAAGAAGAUGCGUGGCUAUGUGCCGCUACAUUGGAACAAUAAUUUUUAUACAAUUGAUACUGAUUUCUUAAUUGUUUUUUAAAUAAGGCAGGCAUGGUCAUUUGAUCUUUAAAGCCCAUGAGUUGUUGCCAUUGCAUGAAUUCUUCUUCUGUCCAAGGAAAAGACAUGGUUUGUGCUAGUUGAGCUUGAGAUUCUUGAGACUCUUCUUCUUCAACUAGGUUUGCCCAUUUUUUUGGACUGGAAAUUGAGAUUGGUCCUGAACUUUCUAUCAUACGAACUUGGGGGACUCUACUCAUGGCGUAGUCUGAUGGCUUUCUUUAUUUGGGCUGGUUUGGGCCAGCUGCGCCUUUUGGGAGUUGCUUGGAGGCAACUGAAAUUAUUUGUUGUGUGGAAACAACAUUUGUAUCAAACUGUUUGGGUAUUGUUUCAGUAAUAUUUUCCUCUGUUGGAGGAAGAGCAGGUACUGGAGGAUCUGAAAUAUCGGCUUUCUUUUUUCUUGGCGUUUUAUCUAUCUUCCCUGCAAGAAUUCUCUGAAGGAUCAGGGAGAGAUAAGCAAGGAAGGUUUUUGACUUUCAACUUGAUUUCUUUGAUAACGUUGGUGUGGACUGAAGUCCACGGAGGUGGAGGUUUUUUCAACCUAUCAUGGAGGGGUUUUAGCAAAUUUCUAAGGCUUGGAAUGAAAUCCGAUACAUAAUUAACACAUCCUAAAAAUCUUUGAAGCUGGGUCUUAUCUAAAAUUUGGUCAGGAAAUUUGUCAGCAAAUUGUAUGGAUCGUUGAAUAGGGACAAUGGUUCCCUGCUCAAUAUUGUGCCCAAGAAAUCGGAUGUUGGUUUGAAAAA